This 1918-nucleotide long non-coding RNA is filed under the name Capsicum annuum. RNAcentral's name for it is "long non-coding RNA (CANN_LNC003725)". The record is from RNAcentral. Lineage: Eukaryota; Viridiplantae; Streptophyta; Magnoliopsida; Solanales; Solanaceae.
UUUGUGAACAAAGAUUCCGACUAAGGAAUUCUGUUGACCGAGGGGGAUGGUGUUAGGCAUCCCUCGAUCUCAUGGUUCGACCACGGUCGCUUGGUGGAGCAUAUCAGCUAAUUUGACAUUACAAAUGUACAAACCACACAAAAACACACAAACAAUCAAUCAAACACAUGAAACAAAACAAAUCCAAAAUAUAGUGUUCAGUCCAAUUAUACAGUUCAAAAUAAAAAAUGCGAAAAAAUAAAUCCUAUUCUAACCUACACUAAUCCUGAACUAUGCUCCAGUGCUUUACCCGAUGCCUCGGGCCUUCAUCACGGGCGUCCUUCGAGUACAAAAUACUGUGGGUUAUUCCCCAACAAAUAAACAAAAAUACCUCGGGGCAUUUUCCGGCCAAAUAAUACAUUUGAUCCAAAAGCAAUAAAAUCAAGCCAUUCAACACAUGUUUCGAGCAUUCAACAUUCCACAAUUCCUAAAAUUUGCCAACCCGAACCUACUAUUUGCCUACCCAACUCGACCUAUCAUGGAACUAUCACGAUCGACGACGUCAAUGAAUCAAAACAACAAAAAAAUUAAAAUUAAUCCUAAUUCACUUUAGCAAUUUUUCAAUUCCGCACCAAAUUCAUUCUCAACCAAUGAUUAACACAUGCAUCGAUUAUCAAUUCAUUUUUCAACAUUCAAAUCCAACAUCAACCAAUACACAAUCAAGAUUCAAACAUAACAACACAUAAAUCAUUCACGAUUACGUAAAAAUUAAAAAAAGAAAAGAUAGAAUUAGACCUCAGUGCUUUCAAAAAUCAAUGUAUUAUUUCGAUCAACCCGGUAGAAUCCGCGUCCGAAAUCCUCGAACAAAACCCCCAAUCACGAUCAAGAAUCCAACUCGGUAUCAAGAAAGUGAAGCCCAAAAUUGAUUACGGUGAAUUGAUCAGGACGAAACAAAAUCUAAAUCCCAAAAUCAGUUCGAAGACAGAUGAGCUAAGACCAAAAUUGCAACAGACUAAAUCGAACCCGUUAAAAUUCUCAGCAAACGAACUCACAACUUGAACAAAAAAAAACCCCAAAACCCGAACUAACCCGAACAAUCCCACUAAACCAUUUCAAUUUUUAUCAUUUUUCGACGAAAAUUGGUCAGAAUAAACUGAAACGGCUCAAAUUUUUAUGGAUUAGAUGGAUGACUUACCUUUCGACGAGAUUCGGACGAAAAACCGGGAUCGGGACUGACUUCUUGAUGUGAGUAUGGUUGGAACGAGAUUAGCGGAGCUUUCUCGGUGGCGAUUCUAGUGAGUCACCGGCGAGAACUUCGCCGGAAGGCAGUCCAACGGCCUCUAUGUCUCUCUCUCGAUCUCUCUGGCUCGCUCAAAUCUCUCUUACCUUCAACGAUUUCUCACUGUUUCUCUUUUAACUCUCUAUGCCUCUCUCCAUCUCUCACUCUCACUCUCCUCUCUUCUCCUUACCGUGUGUAUUUUCUGAGUUUUCAGUGAGCUGGUGAAAAUGCUAUGCCAGUGUAAUUGGGGAUUUUGUGGUGAUUAGUGAAUAAGAAAAGGAAAAAAAAUGUGCGAUGUGUUCUAUGUUGAGAAAAAAAAGAAUCCUGUGGUGCGUAUGUUCUGUGUAUAUGGAUUGGUCAAGAAGAAAAGAAAAUCUCCUGUACCUAUGUGUUUUUGGAAAAAUGGAAAAGAAGACCAAAGAGAAAGGAAAAAAAGGUCUCCCCUAAUCUAUUCCAGUGAAUGGAAAUUAUAUCGAUGGAAUGUGGGGUCCAUGAGUGAGGUGUCUAUUUUGAUUGAGUAGGUUAUUAGGAUAAGGUGUAAAGUUGGUUAGAAUAGAAAUAAAACAAGAUAAAGUAUGUUAGGGAUUAUGUUAAGGGUUGUUAUUUUUUUUUUUUUUGUGAGGUAUAAUUACAUGGAUAAGGGUGUACAAUAAAGUGAGG